GACGAACGCUGGCGGCGUGCCUAAUACAUGCAAGUAGAACGCUGAAGGAGGAGCUUGCUUCUCUGGAUGAGUUGCGAACGGGUGAGUAACGCGUAGGUAACCUGCCUGGUAGCGGGGGAUAACUAUUGGAAACGAUAGCUAAUACCGCAUAAGAGUAGAUGUUGCAUGACAUUUGCUUAAAAGGUGCAAUUGCAUCACUACCAGAUGGACCUGCGUUGUAUUAGCUAGUUGGUGGGGUAACGGCUUACCAAGGCGACGAUACAUAGCCGACCUGAGAGGGUGAUCGGCCACACUGGGACUGAGACACGGCCCAGACUCCUACGGGAGGCAGCAGUAGGGAAUCUUCGGCAAUGGACGGAAGUCUGACCGAGCAACGCCGCGUGAGUGAAGAAGGUUUUCGGAUCGUAAAGCUCUGUUGUAAGAGAAGAACGAGUGUGAGAGUGGAUAGUUCACACUGUGACGGCAUCUUACCAGAAAGGGACGGCUAACUACGUG
Molecule: ribosomal RNA, 495 nt
Filed under: uncultured bacterium
Lineage: Bacteria
Description: partial 16S ribosomal RNA
Rfam family: Bacterial small subunit ribosomal RNA
Source: RNAcentral